GUCAGGAUGGCCGAGCAGUCUAAGGCGCCAGACUAAAGUUUCCAGUCUUGCUUCGCUAAUGCGCAACCAAAGGGCGUUCUGGUCCACUAAUGUGUGCGUGGGUUCGAAUCCCACUCCUGACA
Molecule: transfer RNA, 122 nt
Filed under: Paramuricea clavata
Lineage: Eukaryota; Metazoa; Cnidaria; Anthozoa; Malacalcyonacea; Plexauridae
Rfam family: tRNA
About the family: Transfer RNA (tRNA) molecules are approximately 80 nucleotides in length. Their secondary structure includes four short double-helical elements and three loops (D, anti-codon, and T loops).
Source: Rfam by way of RNAcentral